RNAcentral lists this ribosomal RNA (492 nucleotides) under uncultured bacterium. RNAcentral describes it as "partial 16S ribosomal RNA". It matches the Rfam family "Bacterial small subunit ribosomal RNA", at positions 29 to 507 of the family's 1533-position model. The record is from RNAcentral.
AGUGAACGCUGGCGGUAGGCCUAACACAUGCAAGUCGAACGGCAGCACAGUAAGAGCUUGCUCUUACGGGUGGCGAGUGGCGGACGGGUGAGGAAUACAUCGGAAUCUACUUUUUCGUGGGGGAUAACGUAGGGAAACUUCCGCUACUACCGCAUACGACCUACGGGUGAAAGCAGGGGAUCUUCGGACCUUGCGCGAUUGAAUGAGCCGAUGUCGGAUUAGCUAGUUGGCGGGGUAAAGGCCCACCAAGGCGACGAUCCGUAGCUGGUCUGAGAGGAUGAUCAGCCACACUGGAACUGAGACACGGUCCAGACUCCUACGGGAGGCAGCAGUGGGGAAUAUUGGACAAUGGGCGCAAGCCUGAUCCAGCCAUACCGCGUGGGUGAAGAAGGCUUUCGGGUUGUAAAGCCCUUUUGUUGGGAAAGAAAAGCAGCAGGUUAAUACCCCGCUGUUCUGACGGUACCCAAAGAAUAAGCACCGGCUAACUUCGUG